GUAACUAUUCCUGAAAUAACAUUGCCUUUUUCUAAUGCAAUGUAUUAUAAUGUAAUUAGAAACUCUCCCAUUGCACUGGUAGUAUGUAUUAUGGGAAUCCUCCCUACCAACUCAAUGACAGGCAUUGGUAGUCAUUACCCCCUCCGUGCUCUGGGGUGUUUAAUGUGCAGCAGUGGCAGUAUCCCUUAAUGUUCUUAGGGCAGAAACGAGCCUGAUUAAACCUUCUGCCAUUUGUCCAUUUGCCACUGUAAUACCAGCUAAUAUCGCACAUGCAGCUUUUAGACGAGUCAGAGUGGGAUACGAAAGGGAAGCGGUGUUUGUUUUCCGCACCAGGCAAUUGCCACUCUGUAGCAGAGUCUUUCACACCGCGCGGGGCCUCGUGCUCUCUGUGGGCUCCCACACAUUCACAGUGCUCCCAUCGUCUGGUCCUAAUCUAAUUACCAUGCUGGCUGGGAGACAGAGGGAGACAGAGGGACAACUUAACUUGCUCUCUCUUUUUUUUGACAGUCCUGUGACGAGUGUACGUUUUUCCUUUUCUCUUCAACGAAGCGGCCGAAGACGGAGUAUGAUACUGUGGGACUGCUAUGGAGGUUGGUGUCUUCAGAGGUCCAUCUAAGCCAAGGGAUUUUGGGGAACUGUACAUAAUGGAGCUCUGAACCACAGAGGGGAACCAACACUCAGCCUCACGCGGUCCCGAAGGCCGCUGGCGGGGGAAUCGGGGCGGGAAGUCCCCUCUUAUCGGCGCCAGCUACCUCACAGCCUGAAUAAUAUAUCCACAUUUCCAGUAAUCACGCUUGGCUAAGGCCUGGCCAACAGCCCAGAGUCCAGUAAUGACAUUCAGCAAGGGCUAUACUUUAUUACAUAACGAGGCAUGUGUGUAGUCCCCUUUCCGUACUGCAAGAUUAAUGACAGAACACUAUUGUCAAAGUUAGGAAAACAACCACGUCCCGGAUCUCUCAACACUCCACUUUUGUGUACCUAUGAGUUCUACAUGCCUUUGCUUUCUUUGUGUAUGAUGAUGUCAUUUAACGGAAUGUGUAUGGUGAGUGACCACCAAUGUACAGUCCAUCAGCUGUAAUGUAUUAUUCACUGCAGUGGAAAAGUGUAAUUUCUAUGGAAUGUGCAUGCUAUAGUGUAAGGACCUGAUAGUAACACCCAACCCUUACCACCUCUGACCCAAACCGAAGGCGAACCCAAAGUUAAUCUUAUCUUACCGUAACCGGCCCAACUUGGCUCAAUCAGUUGCAGAGUGGACACAAUUGUACAAUACCCAAUCAUUUUUGCUUAGCUAUGGACCUUAUAUUCUUUCACAACUACAUAAUAUUGGACCAUUAAUAGGCCACAUUAAUUGGAAGACUGGAGAUCAAUGUAUCCAGUGGCCAUAAUUUACCGUUCCUUUUCUAAUGUAGCACAGAUAGUGAGCCCUUCUGGAAAAAACUAAAUAAAAUUUGCCUUUUCCCAUGUGAAAAUCACAAUUUCACAUGUGAAUUUAACAUUUUCAAAUAUGAAUUAAAAUAUUCACUUGGGAAAAAGUUGAACUUGACAUUUUCAUACAUACAUCAUUUUCAUUUUUCACAUUUUAACAACACAAUAUGAACAACAAUUUUGUGAAAACGAAACGAAAAUGUGACUUGAAAAAGCAUCAGUGGGAUUAUUUUUAUAGUUCACAUGUGUCCUCUUCACAUGUUGGAUGUUCUCACGUGGUUUUUGGAUGUUCGAAGAUGUGAUUUUUUUGUAAGGGAGUCUUCCAGUGUAUGAAUGACACAAAAUUGAGAAACUAUAUGCACAUUAGUUUAACUUGAUUGAAUGUCUUAAUACAGUCAUUCCAGUUCCAGAAAUAAAUGACAUUUACAUCCUCUUCUGGGUUAAAAUACACUUACUGUAGCAAAGUGUCUCCUCAUGCAGCUAAUUUUCUCAGCAGGGUAACACAGUCUGAGUGUUCUAAUUUGCAGGUAGGUGUAUCCUGAAUGAAUUAACUUAUGCUUUACUGAAUCUGAAAAAUGCCAUAUAAUAAUCGGCCCAGCCUGCCCCAAAACCUGUUUCUCUGUCAUGAAAUAAAAGUCAACUUGUCCUGAACCUGACACAAA
Molecule: long non-coding RNA, 2087 nt
Organism: Anguilla rostrata (American eel)
Lineage: Eukaryota; Metazoa; Chordata; Actinopteri; Anguilliformes; Anguillidae
Exons: 2
Source: RefSeq, a predicted model, not a curated record